AGAACGAACGCUGGCGGCGUGGAUAAGACAUGCAAGUCGAACGCGACUUAUCUGGUUAGCAAUAACUAGGUAAGUUGAGUGGCGAAAGGGUGCGUAACACGUGGGAAUUUACCAAGAAGUGGGGGAAUAGCUCGACGAAAGUCGAAUUAAUACCGCAUAUGAUCGCAAGAUCAAAGCCGGGGACCGCAAGGCCUGGCGCUUUUUGAGAAGCCCGCGGCCCAUCAGCUAGUUGGUGAGGUAAAAGCUCACCAAGGCUAUGACGGGUAGCUGGUCUGAGAGGACGACCAGCCACACUGGAACUGAGACACUGUCCAGACACCUACGGGUGGCAGCAGUCGAGAAUUUUUCACAAUGGACGAAAGUCUGAUGGAGCGACGCCGCGUGGAGGAUGAAGGUUUCGGAUUGUAAACUCCUGUCACUGCAGAACAAGGCUACACCAGUUAACAGCCGGUGUAGUUGAUGGUAUGCGGAGAGGAAGGGACGGCUAACGU
RNAcentral lists this ribosomal RNA (491 nucleotides) under uncultured bacterium. RNAcentral's name for it is "SSU rRNA". It matches the Rfam family "Bacterial small subunit ribosomal RNA", at positions 26 to 503 of the family's 1533-position model. The record is from RNAcentral.